RNAcentral lists this ribosomal RNA (424 nucleotides) under uncultured prokaryote. RNAcentral describes it as "bacterial SSU rRNA". It matches the Rfam family "Bacterial small subunit ribosomal RNA", at positions 355 to 796 of the family's 1533-position model. The record is from RNAcentral.
CAAGGAAUUUUCCCCAAUGGGCGCAAGCCUGAGGGAGCAACGCCGCGUGCAGGCCGACGGCCUUCGGGUUGUAAACUGCUUUUGCGUGGGACGAUAACGACGGUACCACGCGAGUAAGCACCGGCUAACACUGUGCCAGCAGCCGCGGUAAUACAGAGGGGGCAAGCGUUGUCCGGACUUACUGGGCGUAAAGCGCACGCAGGUGGUAAGGCAAGACGGGUGUGAAAGCCGCCAGCUUAACUGGCGGAGGCCAUCCCAAACUGCUUCACUUGAGGCCUGUAGAGGUAUGUGGAAUUGCCGGUGUAGUGGUGAAAUGCGUAGAGAUCGGCAGGAACACCCAGGGGGAAACCAGCAUACCGGACAGGACCUGACACUCAGGUGCGACAGCGUGGGGAGCGAACCGUAUUAGAUACCCCCGUAGUCC